GUGCUUGCUUUGGCAGCACAUAUACUAAAAUUGGAAUGAUACAGAGAUUAGCAUGACCCCUGUGCAAGGAUGACAUGCAAAUUCAUGAAGCACUCCAUACAUUU
RNAcentral lists this small nuclear RNA (104 nucleotides) under Cebus imitator (Panamanian white-faced capuchin). The record is from RNAcentral. Lineage: Eukaryota; Metazoa; Chordata; Mammalia; Primates; Cebidae.